Molecule: ribosomal RNA, 253 nt
Filed under: uncultured bacterium
Lineage: Bacteria
Description: partial 16S ribosomal RNA
Rfam family: Bacterial small subunit ribosomal RNA
Source: RNAcentral
UACGUAGGGUGCAAGCGUUAAUCGGAAUUACUGGGCGUAAAGCGUGCGCAGGCGGCUUUGCAAGACAGAUGUGAAAUCCCCGGGCUCAACCUGGGAACUGCAUUUGUGACUGCAAGGCUGGAGUGCGGCAGAGGGGGAUGGAAUUCCGCGUGUAGCAGUGAAAUGCGUAGAUAUGCGGAGGAACACCGAUGGCGAAGGCAAUCCCCUGGGCCUGCACUGACGCUCAUGCACGAAAGCGUGGGGAGCAAACAGG